Transfer RNA from Camelus ferus (Wild Bactrian camel), 73 nucleotides. It matches the Rfam family "tRNA". Rfam says of the family: Transfer RNA (tRNA) molecules are approximately 80 nucleotides in length. Lineage: Eukaryota; Metazoa; Chordata; Mammalia; Artiodactyla; Camelidae. The record is from Rfam.
GAGGGUAUAGCUCAAGUGGUAGAGCGCAUGCUUAGCAUGCACGAGGUCCUGGGUUCAAUCCCCAGUGCCUCCU